UAGAUAGAUAGAUAGAUAGAUAGAAAUAUCUAAUUCUAUUGGUUCUAUUUUGCUGGAGAGCCCUGACUAAUACACUCUUCUAGCACCAGCGGGCCCAAGAUGGGAACAAGUUGUGCAAAGAGGGGCCGGGACAGCAGAGAAGCUGCAACAAGUGAGGAAAACUAUGGCCUAGAAAUCCAGUUCACUCUAUCCAUUGGCCACUUUUUCAAAGGCCAAAAAAAACCUUCUGAGGUUAUUGGACGGCCCUGGACACCACAGUUUUUAGAAGUAAGAGCCAUCAGUUCAGAAUCACUGGCCCAGGAGACGAUCGCCAGAAACCCCCAGGGCAUCAAAAAUCCAGAAGGAAGCCACAGACACUUUUGUGAACUGAUCAGAUGAACUUAGAUAUGAGGCUGAGUCACCUUGAUGUCUUAUCACUAAAGACCCUCUCGAGAGAUUUCCAUAGUCCUUCCUACGGCCAAGGACCAGGGGCCAUCAGGUAAAUGCUUCACUAUCAACCACGAGGUUUAGGGCAGGAGCAAGGGCUCCAGAGCCAGAGAACCUGAUUCCACCACUUUCUGUCCUUGAGAAGGGACAAGGAAAAACCUGUGUUCUCAUUUGUGAAAUGAAGAUAAAGACCAGGCUUACAGGGUGACUGGAACAAUAUAUGAAUAGAAACUGAAACCAGCUGCUCACUCUAAUUCUGCUCUGUUCGCAAGACAACUGCUAGGACACCUCACACGGGGAAAACAAUCCCCUCUGGCUGCGACACAGGGCCCAACGUAGGGGUCCCCAGAAUUGUGAGGAGGAGCUAAUUUUCACAUCUUGGAGAGCAGAUCCCUAAGGGAAAAUAUUGGCUGAGAGACGGUGACCGGCAGUGAGGCUCCUGAGGAAGAGGAAAUCGGAUUCUGGCAGAUCGAGAAGCUAAGGCUCCAAGAGGUUGACACUUGGCCAAGUUGAGAUUGUAAGAGGGCAGCAGGGCCCACACACAGGUACCUGCUUGAUACAGCUCUCAAGCUGAACGUCAGGCAGCCUUCCUUGGGUCUAAAGGCCUGCACGCUGUGGGGAAGUCUGAAUGCCUCCUCUGGCACUCCCUUCCCUGUCCUUCCUAAAGGAACGUGCAGCCCCACACUGAGAUUCUGAGCCUUGGCGCAGCAGCACGAAUGGGCACGCGAGAGCGCCUGAGCGGAGAACAGAGAGAGAUAAGUCGAAGUGAUGUGCUUACAUCAGAAGCGGCAGAAAAUGUCAGUGAUUAAAUUUAAAAGUCAGUUUUAAUUCUGAGAAUAUGGAAGUCAAAGCCCAUUCGGUGUCAGAUUGAGCUAAUAGAUUAAAAAUUCAAUCAGAAAUAA
Molecule: long non-coding RNA, 1328 nt
Organism: Equus caballus (horse)
Lineage: Eukaryota; Metazoa; Chordata; Mammalia; Perissodactyla; Equidae
Source: RefSeq, a predicted model, not a curated record